RNAcentral lists this long non-coding RNA (958 nucleotides) under Homo sapiens (human). RNAcentral's name for it is "HSALNT0223289". The record is from RNAcentral. Lineage: Eukaryota; Metazoa; Chordata; Mammalia; Primates; Hominidae.
CGGGCACUCCUGGUGCUAUGGCCUCACUGCCUACAAAGCUAAGUGCACAGCGUGGCUGGAAAAUUGGGAUCGAGACAAGCUGUGUAGAAGAGCACACUUCUCAGUUUGGCAAGCUGCGACAGGUCGAACCGGGCACAGAGAGAUUUGCACAGGUCCUGAUAAGAAACGGUAUUUUGCUUGCUGUCCAGUUCCUCCAAGAUCUUCACCAAGAAGAGGGAAGUUUCCUGACUGGUCUCCAUGAUUUAUUACUUGAAGAGCUCUCUGACUACACUGAAACUUCAGGUCAGUUCUGUGGUGGCAAUAUUGAGAAAGAGAGGAGGAAAAGAGGAUUAUAAACACCAGUGGAGUUUGAAGUCAAGCUCCUUAUAAACCAUAUAAAGAAAUACAGAGAAAAACAUUUUAAUGAUUAAAAAUGUAAUAAGGACAGUAAAAAUAUUCAUAACAUUCGAUUUAGUAAUUCCCUUCCUGGGAAUCUACCUUAAUGAUUGAUAACAAUUAUGCUUAAAGGUGUUCACUAUGAUGGCACUUGUAAUAAUGAAAAAGCAAAACAUCUUAAAUAUCCAAAUAGGAGAAUACAUAAACAUGUUAUGAUAUAACAUGAAUUUUUACAAACAUUGAAACUACAUUAAUGUACAUUCUUACAAUGGACUACUACGCAUCAGCAAAAAAGAACAAACCACUAGUACAUGCAAGGACGUGGAUGAAUCUCGAAUGUAUCGUGUGUGGGUGGAAGAAGCCAGAGUCAGAAGGUACAUCCUCCACUGCAUGAUUCCAUCUUAAUGACAUUCUGGAAGACAGAUCAGUGGUUGCCAAGACCUGGAUGUGAGGAGGAGGGUUGACCUCAAAGGGGCACAGAGAAGUUUUCCUAAAUGAUAUCAUUGUUCUACAUCCUGGUUGUGGUGGUGGUUACAUGACUGUAGGCAUUUGUCAAAACUCACAGGACUCUAAACUAGAAAGU